Molecule: unclassified non-coding RNA, 231 nt
Filed under: Hevea brasiliensis (rubber tree)
Lineage: Eukaryota; Viridiplantae; Streptophyta; Magnoliopsida; Malpighiales; Euphorbiaceae
Source: RNAcentral
AUCCGAUCCGUGUUGUGUCCUUAGCACAAGGGUUUAGACCCGAUGCAGCAGUUGGAAGGUGAAAACAAAUGCCUGUUCUUAUACAAUCUCCCAUCCUCUUUAGCUGUUGAUAAAACCUUGCAAAUGAACUUGAACCUCUGGGGAACCAAAAGGGGCACUUUCUCAUAUGGCACCAGAAACACCACAGGGUGAGGUCAAGAACCAUGACCAAGAGCACCCGCAACAAAUUAA